RNAcentral lists this ribosomal RNA (504 nucleotides) under uncultured bacterium. Its description in RNAcentral is "bacterial SSU rRNA". It matches the Rfam family "Bacterial small subunit ribosomal RNA", at positions 367 to 869 of the family's 1533-position model. The record is from RNAcentral.
GUAAAGUGGCCGAAGCCUGAUCCAACAAUGCCGCGUGAGGGAUGAAGGCCUGAGGGUUGUAAACCUCUUUCAGCGGGGAAGAAGGCAGAUGGUUAAUAUGGAUAGGAUUGACGUUAUUCCGUGACAACACCCCGGGUAACUCCGUGCCGGCAGCCGCGGUAAUACGGAGGGUGCCAGCGUUCAUCGGAAUUACUGGGCGUAAAGCGGGCGUAGGUGGUUGGGUCAGUUGGCUGUGAAAGCCCCGGGCUCAACCUGAGAAGGUCGGGCUAAACUGGGAGACUAUAGUACGUAUAGGGGGUGUGGAAUUUCCGGUGUAGAAGAGAAAUGCAUGGAAAUAAGAAGGAACACCAGUGGCCAAGGCGGCAUGCUGAAAUGAUACGGGAGCAGAGGGGAAAAAGAAAGGGGAGCGUACAGGAUUAAAUACCCUGGUAGUCCAUGCCGUAAACAAUGUCCCCCUCUUGUGGUACCUUUCAAAUCAUUGUUAAGCUAACGGCAGAAGUUGAC